RNAcentral lists this unclassified non-coding RNA (303 nucleotides) under uncultured fungus. RNAcentral describes it as "partial contains small subunit ribosomal RNA, internal transcribed spacer 1, and 5.8S ribosomal RNA". The stretch from base 1 to 73 matches the Rfam family "Eukaryotic small subunit ribosomal RNA", at positions 1759 to 1831 of the family's 1831-position model. The record is from RNAcentral. Lineage: Eukaryota; Fungi.
GCAAACUUGGUCAUUUAGAGGAAGUAAAAGUCGUAACAAGGUUUCCGUAGGUGAACCUGCGGAAGGAUCAUUAAUGAAAUUUGGGUCGGCUUUGUUAUCUGUGCUGGUGGAGACACAUGUGCACGUUAACAAGGUCGCUUAUCCCCACACCCCCUGUGCAUCUUACGACUCCAAGUCGCCUUUUGACUUGAGAGUACUUUUACACAGUCUUGAAUGUAAUGGAAUGUCUAUUGUGCGUAAUGUACAACAGAAACAACUUUCAACAAUGGAUCUCUUGGCUCUCGCAUCGAUGAAGAACGCAGC